GAAAGACACAAGCUGAGCUAAUAAGAACUGCAGCAGAUUUUGCAUGCACGUUGCAAACUGUGUCCCGAAAGGAGCAGGAUGGGGUGGAAGAGGCAGCGGCCACUGGCAGAGGAACGCAGGGCUGAGUCACGGCCGCAUCGUGCCAGCACUGCCUGCCCGCUGCCUGCAGUGCCUGGGAGAGUUCUCCGUGUUUCUCUCUCUUCCCUUUCUGCACAGGAAUCGUUACUCACUCUGCACACAAUGCCAGAAAAGGAAAAAAAAUCCCUUCCAGACUCUGAAAUCCACUGAAUUUUAAAGGAGAAAGAGUGUGAAGACCAUGCCUCCAUGAGAAUCUAGGAUUUGAAAAGUGACAGAAAAGCAAAACAGAGGAGAAUGGAAAUAAUCCAACACAGCUUACCCCAGCGCUGUCACUUUGACCAGGAGAAGCUCUAAGAUCGUCAUGGCACUGUUUGAACAGUCAGAGUAAUCUCUAC
Long non-coding RNA from Gallus gallus (chicken), 473 nucleotides. The record is from Ensembl. Lineage: Eukaryota; Metazoa; Chordata; Aves; Galliformes; Phasianidae.